Long non-coding RNA from Eriocheir sinensis (Chinese mitten crab), 1032 nucleotides. RefSeq lists it as uncharacterized. The transcript has 2 exons. NCBI's taxonomy places the organism in Eukaryota, Metazoa, Arthropoda, Malacostraca, Decapoda, Varunidae. The record is from RefSeq and is a predicted model, not a curated record.
AGAAAUAACAUCAUGAAAUCCGUUUUUUAUGUAUUUUCAAGGCUCAAAAUUCAACAAAACAAUAUAAUAUUCUUUAGACAUUACAAAUAAAUAAAAAAAUAUGCAUAAAUAAAUAAAUAAAUAGGAAAAAUAAACAGUAAAAUAAUGCCUCGUAAAUUUAUUAGAACAAGAAUAAGGAUACAAUUAGCUUCAUUAAUGUAUUGAGUCAUUUAUUUAUAUAUAUAUUUUCGAUUUAUUUAGAGAGACAAGAUUCGUAUAAGAGAGAGAGAGAGAGAAAUUGACAUCGAUUUACAUAGAUUCACAUAGCUAAUCAGACCCCAUAGAUAGAUAGAGAGAGAGAGAGAGAGAGAGAGAGAGAGAGAGAAAUUGACAUAGAUUUACAUAGAUUCACAUAGCUAAUCAGACCCCAUAGAUAGAUAGAUAGAGAGAGAGAGAGAGAGAAAUUGACAUAGAUUUACAUAGGUUCACAUAGCUAAUCAGAUCCCAUUGAUACAUAGAUAGAUAGAUAGAAAGAGAGAGAGAAAAAAAUAUAAAAUAAUAUUAAAAAAACACUUGUAUAUAAAAAUGCCCCUAAUGUACUAGUUAUUGAAGGGGGGUUAUUGGUAGGGGAGAUAACCCCCACCCCCCCCUCCCCUCCCCUUAAUCGACCCUCACUCUAAGACCCCCAAUUGCAUUAAGGGAGUCAUCCAGUACUGGGAUUCGACGAGGAGGAGGAGGAGGAGGAGGGAAGGAGGGAGAGUGAGGAAGAUGGGGUCCCUUAGAGGUAAUUAUAGGAGGAGGAGGAGGGAAGGAAGAAGAGGAGGAGGAGGAGGAGGAGGGGAAGAAUGCAGGAGGAGGAAGGGACAGCGGGGUGCCUCCGGAAGAACCUGGAGGGAAUGGAGAGAAAGAUGGAGGAGGUGGAGAGAAGGUAGGGAAGGAGGGGAGGAAGGAGGGGGGGAGGGGGGCGACUACUGUAGGGGUGUCGUCUGCUGAUGGUGGUGAGGAUCUGCUUCUGUCCCUGCUGGUGCUUCUGCUGCCUCCGCCGAAUAGGCC